GAGGUAGUCCUGCAAGUUACUUUGUUUCGUGUAAAAGAGGACGACUCAGGGUUAUUCAACCCUUCUACACUGCCGAGCCAAAAUGUGAGCCAUGCAAAAAUGUUGAAUCCUCACUUGCAGCACCGUGUUAGCUCAACCAAAUCAGCUAAAAAUUAGCAGGGAGAGAUAACUCCAGAUAGACAAUUACAAAACUGUGUCGAUUAGCUCUUAUUUCUGAGUGAUCCUGGUACUCUGGUUUAUUCAGUUUGGAACUUUGAUACUUUUUAUGUCCAUAGGCGUUUGAACUUAGUUAUGGUAGUUUUGAAUCUUUUAAUAUGGAUAUUUUGUUUUGACUUGGAUUGUAUAUAGACUGUGCAAUCUAUUCAAUCAUAAACUGAGUCAAAACGCUUGUCCUAGUGCCGUAUCUUGGGAUUAACUUGUUUUUUGUUUUGGUUUUGGUUUUGAAGUUUGUAGCUUCAUCUGCAUGAAUAUAAUGACUCAGUUACGGUGUGUUUUUUAUGUGAUUGCUGAUGACGAGUUUUUAUACAUUUUCCUUUGAAAUAUAUCUAUUUAUGACGCUGUUUGUUUGAAAUUGUGAUAUAUAUGAUAUGGAUAUAAUACAUAGGGGUGUGCAAAGUUAAAACCAAACCAAAACCAAAACCAAAUAUUGGUUUUGGUUUUGUUCCUGAAACCACUUCACUAAAAACCGGUUUUUAAGUAUAACCAGUUUGGAUAUGGUUCAAAACCGGUUCAGAACCGGUUUGUCAGAAAAAUCAGUUUUUUGAACUAAACCAGUUUUUUUUAUUCAAAAUCCAGUUUUUUGAAAUAUAAGCACAUGAAUUAUGUAGCUAAUAGCCACAUUGUAAGAAUUAAAGCAAUUUUGUAAUCUGUGAAUAGAUAGUAAUAUGCCUUGUAUAAGUUGCAGCAAUUACCUAAAUUUUAUUGUUAUUAUAUUAUGUUAAGAUACCAUUAUGCAGAAUAGAAAAACAAGAUUUCCAAUUAAACUAACUAUCUCUGUUUGAACAUAAAAUUCCAAACUACACUGUUGAAAUAUAACUAGGAUAAAAACCGGUUUGGAUAACCACUUCACUAACCAAAUUCAUUCAAUCACACAACAAAAAGUGAAAUCAAUCAACCCUAAGAAGAAAAAGAAUCCCCACAUGUUAAUUUAACAUUUGAAGCAUUUAUUCAUAGGUGCAUUUCAUGAAUUGUGAUUCGAUUAAAAAUAAAAAGUAAAAUAGAAGGAAGAAUUGGAAAGGAACGAAAAUGGAAGAAUGGAAGCGAAACGAACCGGCAGCGGCGGAGAAAGAGGGGGCGGAAUUAGGGUUGCCAAUUUGGGGGAAUUAGGGUUGCCAAUUUGGGGGAAUUAGGGUUGCGAAUUUGGUGAUUAGGUUUAGAAUUUUCAGAUUUGGAAAUUGGAAAAGAGAAAGAAAAUGGAAAUCUGAAAUGGUUAAAAUCUGGAUCCGAAUUUUAGCCGGUUUGGAUAUCCAACCCGUUUAAAAUGGGUUGGUUGGUAACUCAUUUACAAAAAAUCCAGAUAUUUUAAAGUGGACUGGAUAUGGUUAUGGGUUUGGGCCUAAAACUGGUUGAUAUGCACACCCCUAAUAAUACAUGAUUGCUAUAAUCAUUGGUUUCAUAUAUCCUACUCCAGCCGUUCCUGAAUAUAAGCAAAUUUGACUUUUUAGGUGUAUUCAAUUAAUGAUGUUUGUGGUUCAUAUUAUGGAUCACAUACAUCAUUAAUUGAAUGAAUCUAAAAAGUUAAUUUGCUUAUAAGUAGUAAGGGGGGGAGUAUAUGUUAUACAAGGGGAGUAUAUGUUAUACAAUUCUUGAAAAAGGUCCAAUAUGUGAUAUCUUGUUGUCACAAAUAAGAAACUUUUCAUUUUGGGAUCCAAGUGCAGGAUGAUGGGGGGUUUUCACACUGAAAAAAUGUUAUUUUGGAAAUGGAACAUUCUCUUCUGACACAAAAGGUUGUUGCAAUUUACGUUUUCCGAAUAAAACUUAUUUUACAUUAUAAUGCAAAUAUAGGAAAUACAAGAAAAGUUUCGUGAACUGUAAUGUUUUGGCAUGAAAUGUUUUAUUAAAAAUAAGAAUGUUCUUCUGGAUUUCAAUGCACUUGUUUAUAUGAUUGAUGAUUUAUGCUGUAACAAAUAUGAUAAAGGGAUCCCUUUUAGAUAGUGGUUCUGUCUUUGAUAGAAUGUAAGCUUGUAACCUUCAGGAGGGUUGUCUUUGAUAUUACAAGCUGAGCAGUUUCUAUGGAAUUUGUGUGGAAGAGUUUCAGCUUCGAGCAGUUGUACUUUUUAUUCUAAUGUUCUACAUAUGAACCGUCCAAUAAUAUAGGGGUAAUAACAAAAAGAAUAAAUUGUUAUGAAUGUCAAACUCUUGUCCAUGUUGGUGGCUUGAUUAUUGUGGUUUAAUUUUAGUUAAACUUACUUAGUUAGGUUGUAGUUAGCCAAAAGAUACUUGCAAUUUAUAUUUAGGUUUAAAUAUGUCAUUGGUUACUGCACUUUCACCAAGUUUUUGGCUCUGGUCCUUCUGUUGAGUUAAGUUAAAAAAAAAAAAACGGUAUACCAUGUGGAUCAAUCAUUCCACGCCACGUGGGACACUAAAAGACAACUAUAUUCCAACUUUUUUAUUAUUAUUUCAUUUAUUAUUUUUUGACUUAAGGCCAUGCACUUUCAACAUUUUUUUUUAUAUUAGUCUCUGCACUUUGGUCUUAAUGAGUAUCAUCGACAAAAUCACUUUAAUGAAUACUCUCUUCAUCAACAACAUCGAUUCCGGUUAGAUCGUAUUCAUUCCUUAGACUGAUGAUAUCAUAGUGGAAUUGGGUGGCUUUAGCGAGAUUGACCUCUUUUAUUUAUGCACUCAUGAUAUCACGAAAUUUCUGUCUUUGAUAAAUUAUCUACGAUGUUCUUGUUUUGCGGGUGACUGAUUUUGCUUAUGUUUUCUAUAUUUCAUUGCCAACUUGUGAUUGAGGCUUGAAAGUCUAUGCUGAAAUGUUUCUUGUUUGAAAUAAUCUACCAUAAUUUGUAGUAUGAUGCUUCAAGCACUCUUUUGUCAGUUUCCCGUCAUUUCUAGCAACCAAUGUCGUUCAGAUUUUUAUUGAGAAGAAGAGGUCCAAGAUGGAAAAGAGAUAGAGGUUUGGUUGUACUCCCUCGGUCCUAAAUUAAGAAAAUUAAAAAUAAGAAUUUGGAGUAUAGUUUUUUGUGUUUUCUUUGAAAAAAGUUUUAUAGGAAGAUGUAAAAACAAUUUUCAUUGGCCAUUGGUUAUGGAAAAAAUCAAAGAGAGAGAAAAUUGAAUGUAAUUUGCAUUUAAUUUUAUGAGAAUAAACAAAAAAAAUCUUGGAAAAGAUAAAAGUUUGUCUUUUUUGCUUAUAUUUUGGGACAAAGAAAAUGUGUUUUUUUUGCUUAUAUUAUGGGACGGAGGGAGUAUGUGGUAAAGUAUAGAUGUUCUCCUAUUUAAUUUUAAUCAAUCUUAGCCGUUCAUUAAAUUUAAUGGUAUUUUGUUUGUGGUCCACCGGUGAGGGACUUAAUUGAUCCCUCACCCUAAAAUCCACCGUUUUAUGCGGUUUAGAUUAUAGAAUUCAAAGGUAAAUUUUUUUUUCUUCCAUAAAACCCUCCAAAACAGUGUAAACAUUUCAAAUUUUUGAAUUCCAACAUUGUGGGCGAGUAAUUCAGGUGGGAAAAAUAAGAAAAAUACUGUCCACCUUAACUCAAUGCUAGGAAACACUAGUAAUAUCAAUAUAACCUCAUCGGUAGUUAGCUGCCAAUAGAUUUUAACCGACAACGUCUUUUUCUGGUGUGUUUCAGCCUUAUUUGAAGUGAGAACUAACAAUUUUCGAAAAAUAAUUGUCUAUUUUGAAUUUGAAGUAGUUGGGCUUGGGCCGAGAAAGAAUACAAGAAACGGGUUUGGACAUAUCCUAUGCAACCCUAGCAGCUCUCUAUAAAUACAACCUUUGACAACUGUAGUGUUUCGUUGUUGUCUUUCAUUUGUUUUAGUUUUGUUGAUAGCUUUUGAACCCAUUGAAUGUUUUCGGCCGUGGAAUUCUCGGUUGAGAGAAUUUGUUUGAGAUAGAUCUACGUCUCUUCUUUGUUCUUCUCUACUGUGUUUUCUUCGCCGAAAAAAUUCACUGGUUUAUAAUUUUUUUUUGCAGUGGCUAUGAUGAUUACUGUGUAUCCCGGCUCAUUAUGAGACUUUUUUGUAAGGUCCGGGAAUUGAAUUUUUCCACACAUAAAUCUGAGCUUUUCUUCACUUUUGAUUUGUUUUAAACUUUGACACAAAUAUUAAAAAUAUAGAACCAAUUCUGGAUUUCGAAUGAAACUGAUUUUGUUGAUAGGGAUUGAGAUUUUUUUUUCUUCCAGAUCUGGAUUAUGAUAAAAAUCUGGUUUUUUUAAUCAAAAGUUUGUAUUUUUUUUAGGGAUCAAAUAAGGUUUAAUCUUGCACAGAAAUGUCGGUAUAAUAAUGGACUAACGAACUCUAGAAAAAGAAUGUGUAAAAUAGAUUGAACUUGUAUUAGAUAUUUAAAUGAUGAGUAUGUUUUCUAAAAUAUUUAGAGAUUUCUUUUUGAUGAAUAUUUUUUUUUUGACAAGGUUUUUUGAUGAAUUGUUUAGUUUCUUAUGGAAUAUGCCAAUUUAUAGUUUGUACAAAUAACAAAUCGGUGAAGUAAAUGGAUUACGAUGAAAAUUUAGUUGUUAGAAUUUGUAGCUUUUACUCUAUUUUGAAAGAUUAUGAUGUUAUGCAGCAUCAAAGAUAUAAUAAUCUAAAACGAACUGAAAGCUAUAAUAAUCUAAAAUUAUGUUAACAUUUUUCAAUCAAUCAUCCAUAGCUAUCAAUUAUUGCCAUAUUUCUUUUCGACAAUCACACCCAUUCAUCUCUUUAAUAUAUAGAUUUUAUCACACUCAUUCAUCUAAAACGAACUAGAUUUUUUUUUUUUUUUUUUUUUUAUCAAAUAUAUAGAUUUUAUAUUAUGUUAUCUUAAAGUUAUAAGUGUGGCUAUAAUUUAAAUUUGAUAUGGAAAAAAAAAAUAUCUUAAUUUUGUUAAUUUUGUAUAUAUUUUGAAAUAUCUAAACAUUCCACGUAACGAUUGGAUUUAUACUUAUACUAAUUAUUUGUAGUAUAAGAUGUAUUCAUUUUUAAACUUAGCAUAUGUAAUACUUUUUAAUAAAGUGUGGGCUACAGAAACGCCGAUCGUUAUUUGUUUUUAUUUUUAAAAAAGUCUAAUAUAAAUAUUGUAUUUUAGGGUAACAACGAUGUAAAAAAACAAGUUAUGAGUAUCGUUAUACCUAUAAUUCGCCUUACAAAGAAAUUAAAAAAAAAAGACUUCUAAACAACACACAACUUUAGUUUUUUAAAUUAUAGCAACAAUUUUAAAACAUAACUAAUGAUCGAUGUUUCUCAUCAGCAUAACUGGACAUCCCACUCUUAGCUCCUUCUGUUGAAUUUUCUUGGGAUUGUGAGCUUCAAAGGCAACCGAGGAUCCAACACCAUCAGGGUUAUCUUUUGGUUUCCAUUCAUUUCGCUGUUUUUGGGAGAUCACUGGUUUCUCUCCAUUAUCAACUCUUUCUGCUUGCUUGUCCUCUUUCCUCGGAUGUAACCAACAACAAGAACUAACAUUGUGGCCAAUACUCUUGCAGUGUGUGCAAAAAUCAAGAAGGCGUUCAUUUCAAUAGCAAUUGGAAACGCAAACCCCUCUUUUUCCACCAUAACUUCAUAAAAAAUAUCUUUUGAAAGGUCCAAUCAACUAGUAUUCUAGCAUAGUGACCAAACAAACGCUUCUUGGUAACCUGAUCAAUGAGCAAUGGAGUACCAACCGCCUAUGCUAUCUCCAAUAAAGUCCUCUCCAUCCAAUAUUCUUGUGGCAAUUCCCAUAAACGGAUCCAAACCUGAGCAUGUGUCUGACGCUGCGUGUGCAUAUUAAAGUCCUUCGACCAUUCAAAUAAACGAAGAACCCCUAGCUUCAAACUGACAGUUCCCGCAGCCCAAAAUUUACACACAUCUUCGUAUGAUGCAAAGGUAAAUUCAUAAAAUCCCCUACCUAAUGAGCGUAGACUCCAAGGACCAGGACGCUUCCAUAUUGUCUGUAGCUUUUCAAAGACAGCCUUGGAAGAGUAUGAAGUAUCCCCUUUGUUGAGCAUCAGUCUGCCCCGAAGGUUGGUCCGACAAGCUUCUAAACCACAGACAUAAGCUUCUUUCGAAAUUUUGACUGACAACAUGUCCCCGCGAAUAACAGGCAAUGGAAGGGGUUCUGAGUAGAUAAUUGUAGAACCGCGUAAUGCCUGAGCAAAAGAAGGUUUUGGAGCGGUAGCUUGUGUUGGUGUUGUAAGCGCAACCAUGUCGAGAGCCAAUGUGAAAAUAGGUCUGACCGUCGACGAGACAAGAACCGGAGCAGGCGUCCCCAAUUCUGCUUGCCAAUCGAACAUGGCGAUCGGCAGAACUGAGACAAAAGAAAGCAGAACGUAACAUAAUUUGUGAUAAACGUGUAACCUUAGUUGAUUGAAAUAGCCACUUACGUGAGACACCAAUUGGAACAACACCACCGUUUUGGAAAACCACCAAAUAAAUUUGGCGAUAAUGAAAAACAAACGUGAUGAAAUUGGUUUUUGAAAUUAAGAGAGCAAAUUCUUAAAUCAUGAGAUGAUGGGAUACGUGAGUGGAGGAAUCAAUUGGAAAGCAAUUUGUUAAUAUUUGAGAACUAGUAAUUGAAGGAAAAAUAAGAAAAGCAAACCGAUUGGUUAAUUCUAAUUAUCAAUGUAAAUAAUUAGAACAUAUUUUUAUACAAAGUUAAUUCUUUUGGUUUCUUAAUCAAGGCUUUUAGAACAUUCAUUAGUAUCAUAUAUUCAUGAAUAGAAGGUAAGCGCGCAAUAAGAUGCACCACUUACCGAAUUUAAUUACUUUCACUCUCUCUAAUUUUUUUAUUUAUAAAAUAUCCUUUAAUCAAUAUAUUUUUGUUUUAUGAUAACUUUUAUUUAUGUCACUCUUUUUUACCAUGUUAUUCUUGAUGCUAACUUAGUUGGUUCUAGCACUUCUUUGGUUGGAAUUUGGAAAUUAUACCAAAGCGUAUUUUUAUUUCAAUAUGCAAGAAGAAUAUUUGAUUUUAAUAAGCUUUCUUUGUCUAGUCUCAUGCUCCAUGAACUAAGGUAAUGUUGUGACAACCCCCCAUCCUUAGCUAGAUCAAAUGUAGUACUGAUGGUUCUCCUAAGGGUUGUGCAAGCCCUGCAAUUUGUGGUGGGAUUUUUAGGGAUAAAGAUGUUAACUAUUUAGAUAGUUUUGUGAUCAAUUUGCAUAUCACUACUGCCUCUCAAGUUGUGCCCCGUGGGAAGAUGAAUGCUACUGAGAUAACUUAUUAGAUGAAUGCUCUGGAUAGAGACUGACUCUCAAACUUGUUAUUAUGGCUUCCCAAAAUUCAAGUAUUGUUCCUAAUGUAUGAAGUUAACAAAAAAGCAUACAUUUUAUUUACAUUUCUCAUAUCUUCCGUGAGAGCAACAAGUGUGUUGACAAGAUUGCUUCUAUUGGUCUUUGGUAAAACAAUCUUACUUGGAUAGAUUCUAUUCUCUUGUCUAUUUUAGAUUUCUUUUUAUUUUAAUAAUAUUUCUUGAAUGUUUCAGUUAAUAGAUGACAAUCAAGAAAUAACGAUAUAGUUCAAAUAUCUUGACUUAUUGCUUUUGCUCACUCUUUAAUGUUACAUUUUUACAUCCACAUAAAACUUAUUUUCUUUUUUAUAAAAAUAAAAGUAAAAAUAGAUGCUAAAAAAGGCAAGUAACAAAAGGUUCAUAAAAUGAGUGUACUUAGUUGCCACUUGGCAAUGAAGAUGAUUACGUUCCAAUCCAACAUAGCUUUGAUGGCCAGCAUCCAAGUAGAGUUGUAAGCCACGUAUCAUCAAACAAUCUAUCACAUUCUCUUCUUAUAUCAACCAACCAUACUCAUCUCACCUUAUCCUUUUCUCCCUUUUAAUCCAAAUAUACAAAACUCCCUUCCCAUAACAUAAACUCUACACACAUUUCAACAAACCAAGGUUCAUUCAUAUUUCAUAUCAUAUUGUUUUUCAUUUCCUUAUAGCAUAUAUCAAUUCAUUUUUCUAAACUUUUUUCAUAUUUCACAGAUAAUAAUAACAAUGGCUACAGCCUCAGCAACAACUCCAUCUACAAUCACUGUUGUAGGAAGCUCAGUUAUUGGAACCAAAUCAAGGAGUACUAAGAAGGGUAACAAUGUCAAGUUUAUCACAGGACUGAAUUCAUACAAUGGAUUGAAAGCACAGAACAGCACUGUGACAUCACUAGGAGUUCCUAUGUGCACUGAACAAGCUUUUGCAAAAGUGAUGAGUUCAUUGAAAUAUCCAUCAAAUGGAGGAAGAAGAGGAGGUGCAGGUUCUUCAACAUGUAAUGCUGCAGGUGAGAUUUUUCAGAUUGCAGCUAUUAUGAAUGGACUUACUCUUGUUGGUGUUGCUGUUGGAUUUGUUCUUCUUCGAAUUGAAGCUGCUGUUGAAGAAGCUGAGUAAGAAUUUUUCAUAUAUAUUUGUAAUAAUGUAAUGUAAGUUUAUAUCAGGAAGAAAAAUACAAUUUGUAUGUUAUGUUUGAUUCUUGAUGUGAUGAUGUAGAACUCAAUUGUUCUUGGAGGUAUUUGAAAUAGUAGUACCACUUGAAUUUUUAUUUUGAGACAGAAUUGUACACAUUAAUGCUGUCUGGUUUUUUACUUCAAAAUUGGUUGGGAAUUUGAAUAUCUAUGUCUAAUAAUAUACUAACUGGUUUGAAAAAAAAAAUGUAUUUAAUAUGUUUUUGGAAAGUUUGAAGAAUAGUAUAUUCACAUGUAGCCUCAAUAAGAAAUUUGUUUGAAUUGAUAUUGUAAUUAGAGAGUUUCUUUUCCCACCUGGUUCGGAUUAUAUUAUCCGAAAUGUUCUAGGGCGCAUGACAAGAAAAAAAAAAUCUCUUGUUGUAAUUAUUAUGAAGCUGCUGAGUUUUAUAUUUGUAUCUAUGUUGAAAAUUACAAAUAGUACUGAAAAUUGAAAGGUGAUUUGUAUUAAGUGUAUCAUUCAAUGAUUGUUUAGGGAACAAUAGUUAAAUGAAAAGAUGUACUAGUUCAUGAAAAAACACCUUCAAUCAUGUAAGAACACAUCAUAUUAAUUUGAAUCUCAAAUUCAUGAAGACACCUUUUGAAGUGUUUUCUUUGAUUUCAUUUAUUUUGUAAAUUUCUCAAAAUGGAACAUACAUAUGACCAGUAGUGAUUGAUAACACUUGAUUUUGAGUUCAGUAUUUCCUCUAAUUGAAAUAGACCAGUUUUAAGGGUAUUUCUAAAUUAAACAAGAUCUGGAGCUAGCAUGCUUCUUACAUUAGGGUGUACAUGUGCAUGAGGCUCAGGGAUUCUGGUGAGGGUAGGUGCACAGAGCCUUAGUUUCCAAGCAGAGAGCCCGUUUACAAGAUUUGAACAUGCGACCUACGAAGCACAUACAUGGACACGGACCCGGAUACAUAUUCGACAUCGGAAAACUCCUAAUCCGAGGAGUAUUUGUGCUUCAUAGUCUAGCACGCUUCUUACAUUAUUGUAAAAAGUUAUAGACAGGGCGUAUAGCCAAAACUGUGGUUGAAUGUGAAUUGGUCUGCUGAUAACCUUCAUUGAUCAUAGUGGAGUCUGCAAUUUUAUUGUGAUAUGUAAAGUCUCUCAUAUACAGUAAACUAAUAUGUGAAUGGUACAAUUUAUAGAUGUUUUGAUGCAGACAAAUCUUGAAAUAUUGAAGUUACACAAAAUAUCCAACUAAAUUACAUAUUCAUCAACAUACCUUUACUCGAAAAAUGGUGUCACAGGUAAUUAUAUACGCUUUUAGCCUACAUUACCACGCGGGGAUUCUUUUAGGACAAAUGCAGGAAUCCAUAGUACUAACCUCAUGUUUAUUGAUCUGAGGUGGAUCUUGAGAGGUGGCCGGAAGUGAGGAGAGUAGAAACUUGAAGUCUCUGAUUGGGGCGGCAUACGUGUAUUCGUACACACUCCAACACUCUGAGUCAACAAGAAUUUGAGGUGAGUGAGAGAUAUGAUGAAUAGUGGGCACCUUGCUUCCGGUGGAAGGAAAGUCCUAAUACAAUUGAACUGCCCAGGUAAAAUGGUGGGAAAGUCUGUUGAGAAAGUUAUAAGUCGGAAUGUAUAUCGCCGUGAUAUGCGAAUCAAUGUUUAGUUGAGAUCAUGCAGUCGUUGAUCUUCAGUGACGUUUUGCUCAUGGAGUUGGGUCUGUAGUGCAGAAAUCUAGUUCGGAUGGGUCAUGGGCUAGUCCGAAACAUUUAUAAUCCAACAUCAAUGAAAGGAAACUAAAAUAGAAAAAAUAGGGUUGCAGUGAAACUGUUUUGGUAAGGGACACUAAUAUCAGUGAAACAUUUGUAAUCGUAGCUGCUUCCAAAUUCCAAUGAAGCUAACAUUACAGCAAAUCAGUGUACAAUUUCAUUAUGAUGCCUUCUAAGAGACACUAAUAUCCUUCAAAGAAAUUCUAGAAUUUGCAUGAAAAUUACAAGGAUGGAAAAGGAUAUUGAAGAAAUUAGCUCAAUCAUUCUAAAGGAUGAUUGUUAUCAAAUUCAUUUAUAUUCCAAUCAUACAUUGAUUGUUUCCAUUCAUACAGUUUAAAUAAAAUUCCUUAAGGCUCAAAGAGAGCUUAGAGAGGUACUUACAGAAGUCCUGACAUCGGUAACAAGAGUUGAAUCCACAAUCUUGUAGAUGAAUCAACUCCUUAUCAACUAAGUCAACCUUCAUUGACUUUUUCUUUUACAACAAUCAACAACACAUAUCGUUAAACACAUAUAUAAUCAAAUUUAAUGUCUGACAAAGCUCGCACCUCGGAGACCUGGAUGGAACCUAUGUGAAUCAAAAGCAACGAAAUCAUACAAAAAAUGAGCAAUUCAAUUUUUGGGCUCCAAAAGCUAUUGGCUACAUAGUGACAAAUAAGAGAAGGGUGGCAACAUAGUGACAAAUUAGUUAAUGGCUGCAUAGUGUAUUAUAUGGACCAGUAUUAUAAUUAAGACCAUUGCGUUGUCCUGUAUCAUGACCAUGUAACUUAACACUGAGAUGUGGUUCUCUCAAAAUGUAACCAAUAGAAAAAUCAAUAAAUAAAUAAGCAGCCAAUAAAUUAUUGGAACGAAUAUCCUAUUGGUGUAUUCCUUCCAUGAAUCCAAGAGGAUCCAAAACAUCCACAUCCCAAAUGAAUAUUCUCAUUAUUCCUAGUCUCUAUAUAAACCACAAUAUAGCUCUAUUACAACCAUCAUUCAAAACAAAGAGAAAGCUCAACAAAAAGAAGAAAAAAAGUGGAACUAAUAUUUUUUUUUGCUCAAUUUUUAAGAGUGACUAAAAUACUUGAUUUUGAGAAAAAUGUCAGCCAUGGUAGAAGUAUGGAUUGGGGAAUUAGCCAAGCUCAAAGAAAAAGUUAUGACCAAAAAGAUAAAAGAUGGUUUAGAAGAAGAGAAAGAAGUCGGAAUGCAAUCUCAAAAGGAGAUCAUAGCUGUUCAUAGAGACACUGCAACUAUUUCAGAGUCAACAAUAUGUUUGCUUAUGGAUAGAUUUGUGCCCUGCUAAUAUAUGCUUAAUUAUUAGGUGCUCAAAUAUCUUGUUAAUUCAAUGAUUUGGUUCCUAGACAAGAAAAUUUGUAAUAAAAUGUUCUAUAUUAUUGUUAAUAAAAUGUUUUUUACUUUAGUGUUAAUAUUAUUGUAGUUGUUGUUAGUCAUUUAUAAUGUAAUUUGUUGUUUAAUUGCUAGAAAAAUAAAAAAAUUGGAUGGUUUGAUUACAAUUAUUAAAGCAAUAAACUAUUUAGUUGAAAUAAUUUGCGUAUAUUUUUUUCAAAUUUUUUGGGUUAUUAUUAUUUGCAAGUUCGCUUUAUGAACUUCUUUGACAUGGUUUUGCAGGAAAUUAAAUACCCUUUCUAGUUUCUUCCUUGAACCCAAAAAAGAAGAUAUUGUAAUUUGUGAAGUAAUUUCACUCUCAUUGUUAAGUAGUGUAAGACAAAGCUUUUAUUUAAACUAAGAAAAUGAGCCCCAAAAUUUAUGUGUUCCACAAUAGAAUAAUUUUUUAUUUUAUUUAUAUAAGUACAACUCAAUUGAUAGUUAAAUAGAAACUUAAUAUGUUAAAUUGUGGAUUUAAAUGUGUGAUUCUCCACGGUUAAAUAAGAAUUGUCUCCUGAUGUUUAUCCUCUUUCUUUGCUUAUAUAAAAAAAAAUGUUUUGAAUUUGUGUUGGAAAAAAAUCCUGCAUUAGAUAAAGGAUAAGCAAAAAACUUUAGUUUUGUUUGAAAACAAAAAAACAUCGGUGUCCUGGUAAGCUUAGUUCAGUUGCGUAAACUAUUCAAAUCGAACCCAGGCCAACCAAAAAAAAAAAAAAACAUCGCCAACUUUUGCUGUUGUUGCUGGUUGAUUCCUGUUAAUAUAGCUUCUACCUCUUCUUUUCUUCGAAAGAAUAGCUUCUACCUUUAAUUAAUUGUUUAACGCAGAUUCCCUUCUAACAGUUCUUUUUUUUUUUUUUGAAGUUCUACCAAUGGCUUAAGAAAAUUAACAUUGUUUGUGAACAAUUGCGACCAAAAAAUAAUCCAAGAUCGACAAUUUAAAAAAAAAAUUACAUAAUCAAAUUAACAAUGUUUUAGAAAGAUGAAAGUGAGUGUAAAUUAGUGAGGUGUGUGUAAACAAUUUGAUAAAAUUUAUAAAAAUGAGUGCAAAUAAUCAAAUGGGUGUAAGUUGGUAACUUGCACCUUAAUGAUUUUAGGUGGGUGUAACUUGCUAAUUUACACCUUAGUGUUUUUAGGUGGGUGUAAAUUAGCAGCCCUCUAUAAAUAAAGACCUUGUGUGUUAGUAUUUCUUGUACCAAUAGUUAGUAGGAUUUGCUAGAGCUGGUAUUACCUCUACUAUUCAAUAUCUUGUUAUAGCCGGUAUUACCUCUACUAUUCAAUAUUUAUUUUUUUUGAGCAAAGGAAAGUUAAUGCAUUUCAUUCAUAAUCAAAGAAUACAAAGUAAGCGGUACAUUAUAGAAAAUAUGGGGGCUAGAUUGGGAAUAGGAUGCUCUAGCUAUGUUGUGAGCGACCCUAUUUGCUUGCCUCCGAACAUACGACAAUACAAAGUCGGAAUUACUAAACAAUAAAUCUCUACACUGUGAUACAAUGUUGCCAAACUCGUUAAGGUAAACAAAAGAAGAGUUGAUGGCAUCAACGAGAAUCUUAUUGUCCGUUUCAAACAUGACAUCAUGGUAGCCAGCUGAAAUUGACGUGUGUAAUGCGUCAAGCAUAGCAACAGCUUCAGCUUCUAGGACAGAACCAAAUGAUUGCAGAAGAGCUGAUUUCCCCAUUAACAAUUGGCCCCUAAAGUUUCGAAAGCACAUUCCAAAACCUGUUACAGUGUUAUGGCUGAAAGUUGCGGCAUCGAUGUUACACUUUAGGACACCUUCUGGAGGCUUCUUCCAAGAGAUUAUGUGGUCCUGAUUUUGAGGUUGAGGUCUAGCUCGUUGCAUACAUCUCCAUUCGUGAAGUGUAUCCUUCGCUCUAGAAACAGUUGAAGCAGUAGUAGUGUCUAAAGAAUCCCACAACUUUAUGUUACGACUCUUCCACAAACUCCAAAGUAACAUUGCGGCUGCAUGUUGUUGAUAUGAGGGUAACCUGUCAAGAAAAUCAAACAACAUAGUAGUAAAAUCAUUAGCCCGGUGCAGCAGCUCGCGAAUAUGGUUUCCCAAAUUAAUACGAUCCCAACAGUCCAUAGCUUUAGUGCACACAAAGAAUAGAUGCAUGUGUGAUUCUGCCAAUGAUUCACACAUCACACACGUAUCAUCGCAUGAUAUACCCCUGGUGGUGAGAUUAACACGGGUAGGAAGGCAUUGAUGAGCAAGACGCCAAAGGAAGGAACAAACACGUGGUGGAAUUUUCAUGUUCCAGAGAGUCAUGGGGGAUUAGAUGGCGCAUGAGUGGAUGAAUGUAGAAGAUCAGCGCAAAUGCGAUAAGCGGACUUUACGGUGUAUUUUCCAUCUGUUGAUACCUUCCAUAAUCUAGUGUCCUCCAUCGGUCUAGUGUAAAGGGGAAUGGAUGUCACAGCUGCAGCCACUUGGGGGUCAAAAAUUGAAUGCACCAGAUUAUAAUUCCAUGACAGCAGAUCCAGAUUCAUGAGCUGAUUGACUGUGAGCUCUUCAAGGUUAGGAGGCGGCGGUGUUGAAGGUUUGUGCGAGGGGAGAUUGCGAAUCCAAGGCAUUGACCACACAUUUAUUUUUGAGCCAUUACCAAUCUUCCAUCUAUAGCCCAACGUAAGUAAUGAUUGGGUACUCCAAAGACUCCUCCAUGUAUAGCUUGGAUUAUGACCAAGAGGUGCUUCCAAGAAAUCCCGUCGAGGGAAAUAUUUGGCUUUGAGGACACGAGUAAGUAAGGAAUUUGAGUCUGUCAUGAGUUUCCAACUUUGCUUACCGAGCAUAGAAAGAUUGAAUGCUUCCAAAUUGCGAAAACCAAGGCCACCAAGACUUUUGUGCAAAGUGAGUUUCUCCCAUCUCAUCCAAUUUAUACCCCGACGGCCAUUCUUUUUCGAACCCCAGUAAAAAGAGUUCAUCAUCCUUUCUAAUUCCUCACACAAAGAACCAGGAAUAAGAAAGGCCCCCAUACAAUAAGAUGGAAUAGCCUGAGCGACUGAUUUAAUUAAAAUUUCCUUACCAGCUCGAGAUAGAGAACGAGCAUUCCAGGAUUGACACUUCUUCCAUAUGCGGUCCUUCAAGUAAGAGAAAAUUGCCUUUUUGUUCCUUCCCACCAUAGAGGGGAGUCCUAAGUACUUGCCGCUUCCAAUAGAACCAUAGACUCCAAGAAUAUUAGUAAUGGUGGAGAUUAGAUCAUGUUGAGUGUUGGUACUAAAAGCAAUAGCAGAUUUGUUGUAGUUUAUUGCUUGGCCUGAAGCGUGUUCAUAAUGAAGGAGGAUUUCCUUGAGUGCUUGAGUCUCUGAUGUGGUGGCCUGGCAGAAUAAGAAGCUGUCAUCAGCGAAGAGAAGGUGACUGAUAGGUGGUGCUGAUCGACAAAUGCGUGUGCCAUGUAAUUUCCCUCUAAGCUCGUGAUUCUUUAUAGUGGCAGAGAGGCCUUCAGCACAUAAGAUGUAAAGAUAAGGCGAGAGGGGGCAGCCUUGUCUAAGGCCUCUUCCUGGUGUGAUGGGUCCAAUACGAUCCCCAUUAAAUAUAACAUGAUAUUCAACAGAUGUGAUACACAUCAUCAUCCAAGUUACCCAUUGAGAACAAAAACCCAACUUUUCAAGAAUAACUUGAAGAUAAGACCAGCUGACACUGUCAAAUGCUUUGGAUAUAUCAAGUUUCAAAGCAACCUCACCUUUUUUUCCUUUUGAUUUACAACGCAUAUGGUGCAAGAUCUCGAAAGCAGUCAAUGCGUUAUCCGUGAUGGAACGAGAGUGAAUAAAAGCCGCCUGUUCUAAAGAUAUCUAUUUACUAAUCAACGGACGAAGACGGUUGGCAAGGACCUUCGAGAUAAUUUUGUAUAAGAUAUUACACAGUGAUAUAGGACGAAGAUCCUUUAUAGUUUCAGGGCAGUCUCCUUUCAGAAUUAAAACAAUAUUUGUUUCAUUAAGACCGGGAGGUAUGUGACCAGAACUGAGCCAAUUUGAUGCUGCCAGAAAUAGUUCGCCACCAAUAUCUUCCCAGAAUCGAUGGUAAAAUGCUGGAUUUAGACCAUCCGGACCCGGAGAUUUAUCCGGGUGCAUACUAAAAAUCACCUCUUUAAAUUCUUGCUCCGAAAAAGGUUGGAUGAGAAGUGCAUUAUCAUCAUCUGAUACUUUAUCUUGGACGCAUGAUGUGAUAGGGAGAGGAUCACUGUGACGCGCCAUGAAUAUAUCUGUGAAGUAAUCAUGGAUGAGAGAACAAAGAUCAUCGUGGGAGGUGAUCCAGUUACCUGAACUGUCACGUAAUUUUUUAAUAUUGUUACUUCUUUUCCUGGCUGAAGCUGAUGCGUGGAAGAAUUUGCUAUUUGUGUCGCCAUCGGACAGCCAAAAAACCUUUGACCGCUGCUUCCAGUAACUUUCUUCUUGGAGUAAAAGAGUAGCCAUGUUAUUUUGCAUAGAGAUCAAGUGAGGGUCACUUGCAUCAGCAUGAGAAUUGCGAAAAUCUUCAAUGGCUGACCUUUGCUUGUUGAUGAGAUGUCGAAAAUUAGGAACCAAAUUUUUACUCCAAGAUGCAAUAUCUUCCGAAAAAUGCCUGAGCUUAGCUAUAAUGUUCGAUGGAGGAUAGUGCUCCCAAUUAUCCUUUACAAUUUGAUCAAGUUCAGGCUCAAGUAACCAAGCGUUGUUAAAGCGGAAACAACGGUAAGGUUUGCGCCAUGGUAAUGGAUCAAGUUGAAGCAAAAGAGGCGUGUGGUCUGAAAUUGGAGCAACCAAUGUUUGCAGCGUUGCAUUCGGAUAAAGUGUCUGCCAGGAGGACGUGACAAGGGCUCUAUCAAGACGGGCUUCUUUCGAGGAUUCGGUUCCAAUACUUUUGAACCAAGUGAAUUGGUAACCAAUCAAAGGUAUAUCAAGUAAAUUACAGUCAUUCACAACAUCUUGGAAGCCACGUAUAAGCCAUGGAGGACGUUCAGGGCCUCCUCUUUUAUCUGAGGUCGAGAGGUGAUCAUUGAAGUCCCCAAUUAUGCACCAGGGAUCGUCUGAGAGGGUGCUUAAGGAGCGAAGCAAAUCCCAGGAUUCUCUGCGUCUGCCUGAGUCAGAAUAACCGUAGAAAGCUGUUAGCCUCCAAUUACCGACUGAUUGAUCUUUGAUUUUUAGAUUAAUGAAGUUUUGGGAGAAAUUAAUUAAAGAACAAUCAACAGAAAUGCGCCAGAGCACAGCAAUACCGCCGCUUCUGCCAGUUCUAUCAACUGUAAAGUGGUUUUCGAAGCCAAUAGAAUAGCACAAAUCAGAAAUUUUAUUAUCGUUGACCAAGGUUUCAAUAAGGAUAACAAUGUCCGGUUUAUAGACUCGGACUAAGUCUUUCAUAACAGGAACUGCCUUAACAUUUCCCAGGCCUCGACAGUUCCAAGAUAAAACAUUCAUUGUGCCCGGCAGGCCUGGGAGCCAGGCUCUGCCACUAAAAAAUGAGUCACUGAUUGUGAGACCUCCAUGGGUGAUGCACUGUUGUCUGGGACCUUGUUGAGACUGUGUGAGUUUUCUUCUGCAACUUCAUUAAUUGCAUUUGCUGAUGAGGAAGCAUUCUGAGAAAUUGCGACAGUAAUGUCAUGAUUUAUGACAGCGUUAUCAGUUGAUUCCCUUGACCGUUUUGCUUUAUUAUUGAUAAUAACGGACUCAUGAUUUUCCUCCUGCAGAAUCUCAUCAUUCUGGUUCGGUUUUGGUGCAUUAACACUGAGACGCGGCUGCAUUAAAUGAGGAUUGCGUAACAACUGCAGCAAUGAUUCAGGAUUGGCAGUUUUGGAUACAGUAUUGAUAGCAUUAACUCCUGUGUCUGUAACUGAAACUGUUGAUGAGGCACUGGUUGCUCCGCCCAUGACAGAGUUCCGGCGAGCACCACCACUAGUGUUCUUUUGACGAUCCGCUCGCAAUUCAGAGCUCCAUAAGCGUAUGCCGUCAUCAGCUUCAACGGAAUAAAGUUUUUCGCAAUAAUCUUCGAUAUGGCCUAAACAACCACAGUAGUAGCAGAAAUUACCAAGACGCUCGUAUUUGAAUUUGAUGAAACUGGAAUCACCUCCCUGCCGUUUGAUUUUUUUCUGGCGCUUCAGAGGCUUUGUGAUGUCGAUCAGAACUCUAAUUCUCAUAUAUGAUCUGAGAAAGUUAGAGUUGUUCUUGGCAUCGUAUUCUAGAAAUUCACCUAUGUAGUUAGCGAUUUCCUUUCCGGCAUUUUCUGUCAUUAGCCCUGUUGGGAUGUCGUGGACUUGUAUCCAAAAUGGAACAAAGUGGAGGGGGACUUGAUUUGGGCUGCCAUUCUCUGGGAUGAUGUUGAGGACUAGAAGGUGGUUGUCAAAAUACCAAGGGCCUUUUUUCAGUAUUCGUUGAAAGUCUAGGUGAUGAUUGAAUUGGAAGGUGUAUAGGCAUGGCUCAAUUUCCAGGAUUUUCAUGCCUUUAACAGGACUCCAGAAUGUUUCAAUCUUUUCCAUCAUCAUGUAGGAGCGGAUUGGCCUGUUCGUGUGGAAACGGCCAACAAGACAGAGGCGGGGAUCGUUGGUUUGUGUUGGGAUUUCUUCAAAUUGAAUGUCAAGUUCAUCCUCCUCAUCACUAAGGGAGAGGUGUUGUAAUGUGGUCAUUGUGAUUGGUGGUUGGUGAGUGGCAGGAGCAGAAAGGUUGCAAGGUGUGCUCCCCGAUUUUCGGAUAUCAAACCAUUGAUUGAUUUGAAUCGUCAAUCUUUGAACUCUCAAUUUUUAUUCGUGGGAAGGGAAAAAAUGAGUAAAAACCCUUAUCGAGACUUUGGAUUCGGGGGUUGGUUUCGAAUAGGGAAGGUGUUAAGCACCCUAAACGACUUCGGUACUCCGAAGGAACCGCUUACCUAGAUUAUCUUGUGCUAAAUUCAUUUGCUUACUUGAAAAAUUAUUACCUAAAAAUCUAUGUAAAAGAAUGGAGGGAGAAUAAGUAUGUUUUGGUUAUUUUUAUUUGAUUUGGAAGGACAAGUCCUCUACCUACGUACCCUUUUUUUGGGAAAGGGAUCAAAACCGACGUAGUUCCACUCAAGAAUUUCUUUGGUGGGUUAGAUUGAUUUUAAGAUUUUUUUUGAAAAUGGGUUUUAAGAAGAGAAAGAGGCCUCAAGGUAUGAGAUAAAGAAAACAAGUGAGGUUGAUUGAUUUUAAAAUUUAAAAAAAUGGUUGAAGUUGAAUUAAGAUUGAUUGAAAAUUUGAUUAAGAAAAUAAAGAGAAAAUGUUGCUAAGAAAAGUGAUUUUUUUGAAUUUGACAUAUUUAGUUUUUUUUUUGAUAAAAAGGUUUUUUUUUCUAAACUAACGGUGAGAACUAACGUAACGUCGUAAAAACUAACGGAAAGCGGUAAAUAAAAUGUGGUAGUGUCGGUGCAUGUGUCGGUGCUUGUGUUACCUACAUUAUUACAUCAAUUCCUAAAUACAACCCUAAGGCCUUUAUGCCAAAAUAAAGUGCAAGAAAUAAAAUUACAUCAAUUCCCUAUUUAUACACACUAAGUCAAUGACAAAAUAAAAUGAUGAGAAAAUUAAAUGUGCAUGCUUCCCUCUGUUCGAUGCGUCUCAGCUUCGUUUGCUUGUGGAUUCGAGUUCGAUUUCUUCUUACGGUUCGAUCUCGAUCCGGUCCGAUCUGUUGUUGUUUUUCACGAAUUUGACUCGGUUUCAGCUUCUUCUUGCUCCUUCUAUUUCGUUCGGUUUGGAUUUGAUUUGUGUUGUUCUUUUAUGAAUUUCUGGUGAAUUUGUGAUUGUUGAAAUCAAAACCGAAAAUGACGGGUGAUUUGUGAGAUGGAAUGGGUGAUGUGUUUAUGAAUUAUUUUGGUGUUGAAUGUUGUUGAGACUUUUUUUGGAUCUGGAAACUUUGAAUGUUCUUGAUGAUUUCUUGCUUUGAUCCGAAAAUGUGAGAAAGAAGAGGAAAUUAGGGUUUGUAUUGAUUGAGGGACUGAUUUGACUCUGACGCAGCUACAGUGAUUUUUCUGACCCUCUUCCCAAUGAUUAGACAGUGUAUUUAUAGUGACAAAAUAGGGUUGGCUCUGGUACAUAUCAAAGACCAAAAUACCCCUGUUGGAGACUUGGGGACAAAGACUUAACAAAUAACAAAUAAAAAUGAUAAGAAAAAAGAAAAGAAAGAAGAAAAAGAAGAAAAAAAAGAGGAAAUAAGAAAGAAAGUCACGUGAUUGACUUUCCUUUCUUUGUUUUUUUUUCAAAAAAAAUAAAAAAUAAAAAAAAUAAAAUAACAAAAAACAAAAAAAUAAAAAAUGACAAAUAAAAUAAAAAUAAAAUAUUAAUUAAUAAUAAUAAAAAAAAAAGUCCCUUCGAAAUCUGACAUGAGGUACUUCAAAGUAUCCUCCCUGCCGAAAUUUUGUCUGAAAUGAUUAAAAGGACGCGAUUUUUAAAAUAUGAUUAAACCUUUUAAAAUGACUUGAUUAUUAUGACUAACAAGACUAUAAAAUGCGCUCAAAACGUUAUAAAAAUGCAGAUAAAAGUUUUUAAAUGAUUAAAGAAGAAAAACACGAGUUUUAAAUGGUAAAAAAAACGAAUAGAAGAGAAUGUGGACUAUUUCAAAAUAUGGACAAAAAGAUUUUAAGUGGUCCAAAUUUGGGGUAUGACACAAGGGAACUUCUCACUAAGGAGAGAAUACUAAAGACUUCUCACAGAGGAGAGAAUAUUUUUUUUUUAGCAAACAGUUAGUUUACUAUUCAAUAUUUAUAAUCAUUAAUUAUAGUGGAAUUCUUUUCAAUGGCUCUGCCCGUGAAUUAGUCAGCACAUUGAUGGAUACCACGUUUAAUCUUGUGCCGUUUUCAUUAUGUCUUUUACUAUUAUAGUCAUUAUUCUCGCGUCCCGUUAUAACAAAUUGGUAUUAGAGCCCUAGUUAGGCUCGGUGGGGAGCAGAAGUGGGAUAUUGUUAGAAAUCAAGUGUAAGUGAUUAUGUCCCACAUCAACUAGAAAUGGAGAAAACGUUGGAUAUAUACGAGAGUGGGCCUAUAUACUUAAUGCCUUAAGGUUUUUGGUAAGAGUGUGGUGUCUCUCUCUUAACAGGUCCUAGACAUUUAUCACAUUGUCGCUUUCGUCGCUCUCCGAACUCCAUAACGAAAUGCACAAUCAAAGACUAUUUUGAAAUUUAAAUUCAUUGAAAAACUAUUGUCCUAUAUGAUAACCACGUAGGAAACCCCUCACUUUGCAAUCUUCCAAUUCACACCGCAAAUUGAGACUGUAAUUUUAUCAUCAAAUUUUCAAAUUAAUCCCGUCAUUUAUUAUUUUUUGAUGAAAAGUUAAUUUGUUAAUUCUUUUAUUUGAUAUACUAUCAUCACUUAAAAUAAGUAUCGACAAUGAUCUAUUAAUUUUGUCAAAAAAAAUAAAAUAGUGAUCUAUUAAUUUAUGAGACGGCUAAGGUCUUCUUUACUCUGGAUCAGAGAAUUAUUCCUCAAUCCUAACUAACCUGAGUAAUGUGGGACUACAAUUUAAUUUCAAUAUCCAACUGUUACCGUAUAUAUCAAGCAUGGUCACAUAAUUAGCUUAAUACCAAAGAAAACGCAAAUUAGUUUUGCUAGACGUGAGGUGGAUAUUAUGUUGUAUUGGAGUUGCGUAUUAUUUAGAUGUCUAUGCAAUUGGGUGUGUAAAUGUAUUUAGACACUCAUUCUUUGAGUAUGUUUUUAGGAUGAGAUCUUAGUUCAUUUAACUUUGAAUCUAAAAUCAUGCUAAACAUGCAUGCGAAUAUUACAGUUGUAUUGAAAUUUCACAUUAUUCAAUAUCAUUCUUUGUGCAUUGAUUUUUGCAAAAUCACUAAAAAUCUUUUUAUAAUAAAGUGUUUUACAUAAUCAUUUCCAUAUAAAUCAAUGCAAUACUAUUUAAUUUAUCUUAUGAAUUUGAGUGUUCAAUUAAAGAUAAAAAUACAAUUAAUAUAUUAUUAACUUUAAAUUUUAAAAAUGAACAUUAGAUAAUUCAUACACAGUUGAUGCUUACUCAUUCACCGGUAUGAAAUAUGACUUUUCAAAGUUCACAAAAACACCACUAAGACAAGUACCACACCAAUAUAUUUUGUAAAAAAACAAUUCUUCUUCUUCUUCUAAUAAAACAUGACUUUUGGAUUCAUACACAAUUGAUUAACCCUUAUUAAAGAUAACUCUUAUGAUCAUGCAUGUUAAUCACCAAAACCACCACCAACUACGUAUGUGUUUCGCAUCACUUUUUUAAGCUCAAAACGUGGGUUGCUUUUGCCAAACGUCGUUUCCCAAUUUCCUGUGUUGUUUGGAUGAAGGAAAAGCAGAUCUGUGAAACCACGUUUUAGAUCCAAAACGCCGGUUCUGCUAAAGCUGGAAUUCAAAGCUUCAGCGGCAGUGAAAAGUGAUUCACAGUUUUAACUUUUCAAUGACAAGUAUAGUUACCAAUAUACCCAUGUUUUCUUCUCCAAUUUCCCAUGAAUAAACAACAUCUUUCUUCUUCUUCCAUAAAAAAACAUAUUUCUUCUUCUUUAUUACUGCACAUCACUUGAAGUAGUAGACUCUUCUUCUUUCUUUUUUGCAUAUCUAUCCUAUUUUUUUUCUUCAGAUUUGUUCUUAAUUGGUGAGUGAUGGAGAAAUGGUAGAAUGAGAGACAAAUAGUGAGAUGAGGAAGGAGAAAGGCAACAAGAGUUGGUGCAGUGAGAGGUGGAGAAGAAGAUGGAAAUGGAUAGAAGAGUAUUGAAGCUUCUCGAGAAAUAGAAAGGGAGACGUGAUGAUCUCAAGAGUGACACAAAUUGGACUUUUUUAAUUUUUUUUUUACUAUUGGGUUUUGGGCUGUGUUGGAGUAUUUGAUAAUUUGGUUUUAAUUAAAAGGAUAAUUUGGUCAUUGUACAUUCAAAAUCAAUUUUGAUUCAAACUAUCCAAACAAAUCAACUCAUAAAAAUCACUUUUAAAAAAGUGUAUCCAAAUAUAAAUCAAUUUACAUCAAACUCACUUUUAACCAAAAUCAAUUAUAUCAAACUCAAUUCUAUCAAAUCAAUUCUUCCCGCCGCCAUACCAAACACACACUACAUGCAUGGCAACUAUCAUACCAAUAUAUCUUGUAAAGAAUUCAUUCUUCAUGUAUUAAACAAGAUUUUUAAAGUCAUGCAUAUCAUGUGAGAAUAAAUAUUAUAAAUAUGUUAAAAAUAGAAAGUGAUCGUAAAUUCUAACAUAUAUUAUAUUUGUAUUAUGUAUCUAUAUAUCAAAUAAUAGAGUUUUUUUAAUUAUCGCAUAAAAAAUGUCAUUAUUUUUUAAACAAAUUAUAAUUUUCAUGAGAUAUGACUUUGAACUUAAUGGGCAACACCAUCAACAUUAAUUAUUUCCUUAGUCUCUCAAUUCAUUCCAUCUAUUCUUUUGCAUUUUCUCAUUUUCUUUAGAUUUCUUUCUUAUUUUCACAAACAUACAUAAAAAGACACGUUAUCGAACACAUUAGUAAUUUAUUACUGAGCUGUGCUAUUGAGCACGACAAAAAUCCAGGCACGACACGCACGACUAGUUAUGUGGCACAAUCCUCUUUGUUUAAAUUAAAUUUUAAUUAAAAUAAAUUUUAAAAACUGAAAUAGCGGAAGGUAGAAUACACGAUCGUGUGUAUUUUGACGACAACCAUGUGUCGUGCAAUAUACCAUUUUCCUUUAUUAAUACUUAAAAAAUUGGUAUCUCUAUAACUUUGUCAAGAUAGUGUUACAAAAAGUUGGUGCCACUCUAAAUAUUUUGAGUUCUUUGAUAUUUUCGAUUUCGAUUAUUUUGUUGUGACAUUUGGUCUGACGUGAUAUACAAUCACUUAAAACCACAAUUUAUUCACCACUCAAGAAAAUCAGUGUUCCGAUACGACGGGAGACCGUUGCAAAUAUGACCACCAUCUUUUUGAACUAAAAAAAUGGAUCAGAGGCUUUGAUGAACCUUGUGCGCAAAGGAAGAAAAUAUUCAGAAGACUUUUGAUUUAAUUUUUUAUUAAAAGAUUAAACCAACACAGCCGGUUGACAGUUUUAUUUGCUUUUCAUGAUGUUUAUAUGGACCAAAAGUUGAGAAAGUAUCUAAAAGUGUUUGUUAGAGUACCUGUCCUUAGUAGUCACUUGUAAUAAAAUGACAUAUACACGCACACGCUACAUUGUUAUAAAAGUGUUUGUUAGAGUGACUGUCCUUAGUAGUCCUUUGUAAUAAAAUAACAUAUACACGCAGUCACUACUGUGUUAGUAAUUUUGUAUGUGUUGUUAGUCAUUUGCAAUAAAUUACAUACAAAAUUUUUUUUGCUUAUAAUUUACAAUUUUAAAUAUUUUACCAUUUAGUUGAAAUAUUUUUUUUAUUUGUACAAUACUCACAAUGUGUUGAUUUUGUUAAAGGAGUUUAAAUUUUAUACUAAAAGCUAGAUUAAAGGAUGAGAUUGCCUAAUCACAUUUAUAUAUCUAACAACUUAAGAAUUUGGUAACGUAAGACUCCAAUAAACCUUCAGGGUGCGUUUGAUGGUCAGGAUAGAAAAGAUAUAUCAUAUCAUAUUAUAAUCCUUUGUUUGAUACAUCAAUAAAAUAUGAUAAGUUAUUCCUUUUAUUUAUCCUAUUUUAUCCUAUCACUCCUUUGUAAUUUCUAUCUAAGUUUAUGUAGGGUUAUAAUUAUCCUAUCAAAUAGAAAAUCCUAAUUUUACCGUCACCUUUGUCUUCUCUCUAAUUCGUCCAUGCUUUCCACUCAUCUUCUUCCUCUUGUUCAUGCCAUCAUCAUGUAUGUUAUAUUGUAAAUUUUAUCAAUUCCUCUUCUCUUAUUAUCGUACAGAUUGCUUUUGUUCUUGUUCUUAUUCAAUUUUUUCUUUAUUGAUUUCAAUUUUUCAUCAAUCGAUUUUUCCUCCUUAUUUUAUUGAAUUCCUUUUUUUGUCCGAUUUCUCUUAUAUUUAUUUCAUUUCGAUUUCUCAUCCUUUUUCAAUUCUUUUUGUGUUGAAUUCCUCUGUUUCCAUCGCUCUUCCUUUCCUCUGUGUGUCGAUUUUUUUACAGAUUCCUUUCUCUUUUUUAUUUUUUUAUUUUAUAGAUUUCAAUUUUUUCCUUCUUUUCUCUUGUAAAAAAAUUAAAAAAUUUAUUUUCUUUGAUGUUCAUGUGCAAUACGAAAAUCCGUUAAAAUAAUAUAAUUGAUUAAAAGGGUAAUUUUGUCAUUUAAUAUGAUAAAGAAAAUGUUAUCCAUAUUGUUAUCAUGUCCACAUCAAACAUAUGAUAGGAUAAAUUUAUCAUGUACAUAUCAUAUCCUGCCUCUAUCCAGUUUUAUAUCAUAUUCUGUCUUUAUCCUAUUCUGACCAUCAAACACACCCUAAAUACCUAACUCUCACGUCUAGUGUGCCUCCCAAAUCCAAUUCUAAUACGGUAAUCAUGAACACAACCCGGAUAUCGCGUACCGGAGAAUUGCAAACUAGGUGACAUUUUGAAGUACUAUAUCAAGGUUAAAUCGUAAACUCUAAUCAAUAAUGUUAGUCAUAUAAAAAUAAUAUAAAGAUAAGUGAAAAUCACUUAUUUGUUGAAGUCAUAAUCAAGGUUAUUACUGGACUCGCGGAGAUGUGAGAUUGAAUCUCCCUUUUUCUAAUCACGUGCUCGAGGAUUUGAAUUCUCAAUGAAGUUAACCGCAAAGGAGCUAAUCGUUAGAAUGAUGGCAAAGGAGAUCAAACCUCUCUAUUUACACUUUUGUUUUCUUUAUAAAAGGGACCGAAACGAGUAACUAUUUUUUCCCUCAAGAACUAAAAAAACGAGCAAUUCAGUUUUUGGGCUCCAAAAGUUAGUGGCUACGUAAUGACAAAUAAGAGGGGAAGAAUGGUGGAAAGUGGGUGAUACUCCAGAAGGAUUGUAUGCUUGGAAUGAAAGCACGUUUUAUGUGUAGUGUAAAUUGUAUUCUAUGGAAUAGUAUUAUAAUUAAGACCACUGUGUUGUCCUGUUUCAUGACCAUGUAACUUACUUUGUGGCUCUCACAAUGUUACAUAGUUUUAUUUUAGGUGAGAUACGGACAUAAUACGCCUACCCUUCUUGACUUAUAUAUUACGGACAAAUAUUGUUUUGUUUAUUCUCACUCCAAAGGUUAAAAAUGUGUCAUCCUAAGGUUUUAACUUAAUAUUUUUUGAGUUAAAAAAAUUCUUAGUCAAACUAUAUUUAUCUUUGUGGCGCCGUUUAGCGUACGCAGACUUAAUAGGUCAUGUAUGGUGUGAGACUUGAUAUUGCCUUUUUUUUUUUGUUGAAUAAUGUGAUAUACGCUUUACAUACGGUUAAGUAGAACACUAGGUGGAACGGCGCCACAAAUUAAUCUCUAUAUUAAUAUUAUAUUAUUUGUUGUAUUAAAAAAGAUAGAGAUUUACAUAUUUGUUAAAUUAUUGUUGUUAUUGAAAAAUAUAAACACGGUUUUUUUGGGUUUCUUUCGAUUUGAAAGUCACAAAUAUUUGUACUUAUAGUUUUAGUCAAAAUCAAAAUUUCAUAUAAAAUACCAUUCAUAAUUUACACGUGUUAGCGCAAUAAAAGGAGCAAAAAGACGGACACGUAAGUGUCUGUCUUUUCGCUGGCAAAAUAUAAGGACAAUUAUCAAUAACAAUUUUAAAAUUCAGUCUUGUAAUUUUUUCAUUAUAUACGGUGUAAAUCCAUCUGUUUCAAAGGCUUUCCGCAACAUCCAAAGGCCAUAAUUCUACUAUGUUUUUCAACAGUAGUAUUUUUGUUCAUUGAUUAAAUCACCCUUUUUAAAUGAAACUAUAAAUUCCAUAAUGUUUAUCAACAAUACAAAUUUUAACAUGUCAACUUGUGGGACCUUUUAGAUCCAUCCCUACCGUUUGCUUAUAAAAGUAAAUCCAAUGGUACCUAAACAACUUGCAACAAAGAAAAAAUUAAGAGAUCUUGCACGGUGAGAGACCUAUAAUGGUCUCCUACCGUAGCCACAACCGUAGUACCAUUAAACUCUGGAUUAUGAUAGCCCAUCUCUUUUGUAAUUCUUCCACUAUUUUGAUUUUAGAGCUUUUUUUUUAUGUUAGAACCGUUCUAAAGCAUAAUAAGAACGAAAUGUUUCAAGACAUGAUUUAUUCCAAGAUGAUUAGAAUAAGAGAAAAUGGAAACAGAUUAUAUAAAUCUCAUCAAACAAGUGCAUGUAUGCUAAUGCUGUCAAUGACUAUGAAAUGACUCAUCCAUGACCCAUGUUUAUCUCAAAAUAAGAAAGGAACACCCAAAAAUAGUAAUCACUAAGGCCUUUUUAAUUGAAUUAGUUUUGAAAAGAUUUAUUUUCUUAUUUUAGAAAAAUCUAUAGAGAAAUUUUCUCUAUAGAAUUCUUCAUUGGAUGCAUAUGAGAUAAUUAAGAGUUUUUUAUUUAUUUUUAAAAGCAAUAGUUAAAGAGUUGUUUUUUUUUAUUUAAUUGAUUGUUUCUUUUUAUUUGAAAAAUAUUCAAUUUUAAAUAAAAGUUAGCAACAAACAUCUAAUUAUGAGAUAAUUAGAAUGAGUUUUUAUUUUGGUGCUUCUAAUUUUAGUAGUUGAUUAAAAAAAAAAUCAGCAGUAAUUUUGGUAAUAGUACAAUAUGAACGUGAAUAUGCAAAAGUAAUGAGCAACCAAUAGAAAAAAAGAAUUAGAAAAGCAACCAAUAAAAUAUUGUAAAGAAUAUCCCAUUCCCAUUGGUGUAUUCCUUCCAUGUGCCACUAAAUUCAAGAGGAUCCAAAACAUCCACAUCCCUUUUAUAACCCUACACGCUUUCUCUCAAAUGAUUCUCAUUACUUCUAGUCUCUCUAUAUAAACCACAUUGAUAUAGUUCUACUAUUACAACCAUCAUUCACAACAAAGAAAAUCUCAACAAAAAAAAGGAAAUAUUUUUUGCUCAUUUUAUUAGAGUGACUAAAAUAAAAUGGCAGCCAUGGUAGAGGUAUGGAUUGGAGAGCUAGCCAAGCUCAAAGAGAAAGUUCUAACCAACAAAACCAAAAUUUCUAAAUCCAAAAAUGGUUUAGAAGAAGAGAAGGAAGUGGGAAGAGAAGCUCAAAAGGAGGUCAUAGGUGCUCAAAGAGACACUACAACCUUGUCUGAGUCAACAAUAUGUUUGCUUAUGGAUAGAUUUGUGCCUUGCUAAAAUAUGUUGUUUAUUCAACUAUAUCAAUGUGAUUUGGUUCCUAGAUAAGAAAAUUUGUAAUGAAAUGUUAUAUAUGUUGUGUUAGUAUAAUGUAAUUAGUUGUUUAAUUGUUCUUGGAUGGUUUGAUUACAAUUAUUAAAGCAAUAAACCAUUUAGUUGAAAUAAUUUGUGCAUAUCUUUUCAAACUUUUGGGUUAUUAAUAUUUGCUCCUAUAAUGUUAGCUUUAUGAACGAACUUUUUUGAGAUGGUUUUGCAGGAAAAUAUCUACGACUUCUCUUUCUCUCUCUUAAUUUUUCUUUCCUUUUCUUAUAUCUCCUAUUUCAACCUUGGCUCAAGUUCAAUCCACUUAUGGACUUGCUCACUAGGGAGUAUGCUAUGAGAUUCCCCAGGGGAGCACCCAAGAGAAUCCGGUAAUGGUGAUCAAAUGUUGAUAUGCAAAUAACGUCGAGGACAGUCUAACAAAAUCAAUGAUUCCGACAGGAAAAUUCUACAGUCUUCCUUAUAAUUAAGGACAGAUGAUCGUUAAAGGGACACAUUCUCUAAACCCUAAAAACUUCACCCCCUUUGAUCACUGACUAACUUGAUUAUUGUAGUGUUUGCAAGUAUACAAUCCUUUAUGAAGAGCUAUCGUCGUCCUUUCUUCCACCACUCUGGCUUUCGAUUUAGGUCCACUCCGGCUUUUGAUUUAGGUCCUUUCUUCCUUAUUCAAUCUUAAUAAAAUGAAGUUUUUAAUGAACAUUAUUUUUAUGUAUCGUUUUGAACACCUACAAUCAACUAUAUAUCGAGCAAUGAGUCUCCAAAGAAGUAGCUUAGGUUGUGACACCGAAGAAGUUAUAUGUAGGAAGUUCAUAUUUAAAUUGCUUUCUACGAACAUUUCUUGCCUUUAAAAAAAACUUCUAGUAAAAAAAAUAACAUGAAAAGUUUUGAACAAAGUUUUAAGUCCAACAAAAAUGGUUAUUGAAACUUUUUCCAUCUUCAAGACAUGUAAUUAGUGACAUUAAAAAGUGUUUAUAAUACUCCUGUAAUUUAAGUUUACAUGCAUUGAAAAGUGUUUAUAAUAUUCCUGAAUUAUAAGGUUAUUAUGAUUUCCAACGCGGUUUAUUGACACAUUAUAUGCCCCAUUUUACACGUUAAGGUCAAACUAGAUGAUGACUGAAAUAAUUAGAGAAGUAAAAUAAUUAUUAAUUAGGAUAAGUGUUAAAAUUGACUAAGUUGAUG
This 28792-nucleotide long non-coding RNA is filed under the name Medicago truncatula (barrel medic). The record is from RNAcentral. Lineage: Eukaryota; Viridiplantae; Streptophyta; Magnoliopsida; Fabales; Fabaceae.